This 2685-nucleotide long non-coding RNA is filed under the name Homo sapiens (human). RNAcentral describes it as "non-protein coding lnc-NEIL3-6:5". The record is from RNAcentral. Lineage: Eukaryota; Metazoa; Chordata; Mammalia; Primates; Hominidae.
ACUGAGCUGUUCCCUGCGCUAAGGUGCUCUUUUGGGCCUAAAUAUAAUUAGAUCCUUCGCCGUUGUUUUGAGGUAAAUCUAAACGAAAAGGAACACCUGUUAACAGGUAGUGAUGCCGCAGGAAAGUGCUGGGAAGGGAAUGCUGGGAAGGGAAGGGCGUGGUCCCUUUAAAUGAUAAGGAAGGGGGGCGGGAAGUGCUGGGUAGAGGAGGGCGUGGUCCCCAGCUAGGGCUUCAUCCCUGGGCCUGGGCCUACCUAGGUGAAGACAGGCAUUUUUGUUUUCCUGCCCGGAUGUUGCAUUUCCCAAGACCACCCUGGCCUGCCAUGCCCUCAUCCUGUGCCUUUAAAAACCCCCGAGACCCUGGCAGGCAGACGCACAAGCAGCUGGACAUUGAGAGGAGCAUAUAGGCAGAGAAUACAGGGGCUGCUGGAUGUCGAAAGGAACGCACCAGCAUAGGAGCACACCGGCAUGCUGGCAGGCCAUUGACCAGCGGAAGAAUGCAGAGUUUGUCGCGGGAGGUCAGAGAAGAGUCAGGCCGCCAUACCUGACUCCAGGAGAAAACCGUCUCCCUUCUGGUUCCCCCGUCUGCCGAGAGCUACUUCCACUCAAUAAAACUUUCCACUCAUUCUUCAAGCCCACGUGUGAUCCAAUUCUUCCCGUACACCAAGGUCUCGCUGUGUUUCCCAGGCUGGGUGCAGUGGCUAUUCAAAGGUACAAUGAUAGCUCACUGCAGCCUGGAACUCCUGGACUCAAGCGAUCCUCCUGCCUCAGCUGCGACUAACAGUGCUGGUAAUGAUGUAUACCUGGCAGCUGACCGUCAAAUCUUAUGAAGGAUUAAAACAUAAAGUUUGCAUUAAAGGUCAAAACAGUCACAAGCCUGCUCAAAUUCGGAAAGAGGGGACGGAAAUGGAACCUCUUCAUGGGAGGAAGAAACAGGGUCUUGCUCUGUUGCCCUGGCUGGAGUGCAAUGGUAUGAUCAUAGCUCACAGUAGCCUUGAACUCCUGGGCCCAAGCCAUCCUCCUACCUCAGCAACCAGAGUAGCUGGGAUUACAGGCGAAUGCCACCACACCUGGAAUUGGAAAAAUGAAUGUAAUUUGACAUAUGUCUUGAGUCUGGUUGGCUUCUGAGGAACUUGUGUGCAUCUCAUCAGUAUGCAUCUUAAGAACUGAAAUGACCCUACUUCAGCAUUGUGAAAUUACAUAAAGAUAAAAGGGGAUGCACUGAACCUGAUGGUACUUUCCUGUACAAUUGAGAAAAGGUGAAAUAAGCAGAAGACCAAGGGAUGCAUUGGGAGGAGGAGAACCAGGAGGAGGACCACGUAAUGGAAGCCAAGUGAAGACAGUGUUUCCCAGUGCUGGCAAGGAGCAGGCUCCAUGCAUGCAUUUGGGCUCUGUGGAAAAUCUAGCCAGGGAUGCGGGCCUUUCUGAACGCCGCUUUCAUUGUGCCCCCUGCAGCAUUAUCUCUUCGAUGCGAUGUCCCUGCUGACUGAAAUGCAGAGAAGCUACUAAGAUCCACACACCAGUUGCUGCAAUCGGUGCCCUGCUCUUUGUCCCCCAUUCACCCCAGGUGAUUCAGCUCUUCUGGCACUCCCAGUGAUUCCUGUGGGACAGGCCCAGAGUGGACUUCCCACGAAGAUUCCCAGACUGGGGGAGAGCUCUAAGAUCCACUUCCAAUUCCUUUGUCUCACCUAGGAGACUCUGGGUUUAUGGAAGUUCUCUCUGAUUAGUGCUGUUGCAGCUGGGUUUGGGGGUCAUGUAGUCUAAAUGAUUGUUUCUCUUACUGGUGGUGAUUUUUCCAGUUUCUGUGGGCCCAGUGGAUUUCUCUGCUUCUCCUUAGAGUUCUGGUGAACUCAGAAUGUUAGUGUUAUUCUUUUCUUUGAAAAUAGUUUCCAUUUGUAAUUUGCUUGGAGAGUGAUUCUGGGGGAUUCUAUUCUGCCAUCUUGCUGCUGUCACUCUUUAAUAAGAUUUGUAACUAAUUCUCAAAUUGUUCAUAGUCUUAAAACUACAUAGAGUUGAUUUCAUACAUUUUAUUAUGAGAACAAUAAAAGUAUUUUGUGUCUUUGCUAGUGAGAUUUUUAGUUAUACAGAAAUUACAGUGUUUCCUGCUAUGUUCAAUCAUUCCAAGAUUCAUUAUACAUAUGUUAAAUAUGUUAUACAUUUGUUUACAUAAUGCAUAUUUUAUUUUUUUUCUGAGAUACCCAAAGCAUAAUCUCCCUCACUAUCCUGAAUAAUUAUAAAUUAGUAUUUCAUAUAUGAUAGAAAAUUUGUGACAUCCACUAUUUUUAAGAACGGCUAGGCUGGGCGUGGUGGCUCAUUCCUGUAAUCCCAGCACUUUGAGAGGCUGAGGUGGGCGGAUCACGUGAGUUCGGGAGUUCGAGACCAGCCUGACCAGCAUGGAGAAACCCCAUCUCUACUAAAAAUACAAAAUUAGCCGGGCGUGGUGGCACAUGCCUGUAUUCCCAGCUACUCGGGAGGCUGAAGCAGGAGAAUUGCUUGAACCCGGGAGGUGGAGGUUGCAGUGAGCCGACAUCAUGCCAUUGCACUCCAGCCUGGGCAGCAAGAGUGAAACUCUGUCUCGAAAAAAAAAAAAAAAAAAAAAGAAGAAUGGCUAAUUUCAGAACAUGUUUAUAUGUAUGUUGUAUUCAAUGUCUUUAAUUAAAGUCUGUUUCUUUAUCCUAAUUUGUG